GAUUUGUUUUCGAAAUUAUGAGUAAUAGUUUCGAUUCGAAGUUGAAUAAUCGUUGUUUACAGAUGCGGUAGUGGGAGAUGAAUUUGAUGCCACCGGGAGGACGACGAGUUUGCGACUGAUACUCGAACAAAUAACGUUGCCGGGCACAUAGAUAUUGCAGAAGAUCACUUCCUCGCCCUGGAUUUAAACUCGCACACCGUUCGGACAGCGCUUAUAAUGUACUGUACACUGACCAAUUGCCCCGUACAUCGGCGAUCUACAUUGAAAAACGUCAGUCCGUCGGUGAGACUCGGCCGGCAAGUGUUGGCCCGGGGCAUAUAAAUUGCUACCUCGAUCUCGUUUAAACGGUGUACCUAUCGAUGAACAUUUUGCGUCCAAUUUCAUCGGCCAAUGAAACGAUCCCAAGAGAAAAUCUCCGCUGUUUUUACCCGGAAGCCCAAGACCUUGAAGCCCGAAAAUGAAAAUCCGAAGGGUAUUUCAUCGAUAUUAAAAUAGCAGGCAAAACAGCAUCGUGUGGAUAACCCGCAUCGCCCUAAAAAUUGCGUUUCAUCACUUUCGGCCGUUUCUCGACAAGCACAAAAAUUGUGGUUAAAUCUGAAACCGGAAACUACGCUACUACGGGUGGUUCGCCUUGGGCGAAAAUCGACCUUUUUUUAUCAGCUGCAUGGAAUCUGUACGCGCGAUUUCCAGCCCACUUUACUUUUUCAAGUACCUACUCUAUGAACUCCCCCUCUCCUCCCCAUCUUCAUCCCACCUAAACAUAUAUACUUACCUAAAUUUCUCGGAGGAUGUAAGCUCUUCGUAGAAAUUUCAUUCGUAUACUCUUCGCCAGGGUUUGCAUACCGGGUAAGCAUCCUGAAAUAAAUUUAAUUCCUUGAUCAA
This is a long non-coding RNA of Neodiprion virginianus, 882 nucleotides long. RefSeq lists it as uncharacterized. The transcript is spliced from 2 exons. The record is from RefSeq and is a predicted model, not a curated record. NCBI's taxonomy places the organism in Eukaryota, Metazoa, Arthropoda, Insecta, Hymenoptera, Diprionidae.